UGGGUUUGACAUGUUUUGGAUCGGUCUAGAGAUAGACUUUCUCUUCGGAGCCAAUUCAC
This 59-nucleotide ribosomal RNA is filed under the name uncultured bacterium. RNAcentral describes it as "partial 16S ribosomal RNA". The record is from RNAcentral.